GACGAACGCUGGCGGCGUGCUUAACACAUGCCAGUCGAACGGAAAGGCCUGCUUUCCCUUGUGUGUUGCGGGUACUCGAGUGGCGAACGGGUGAGUAACACGUGAGUGAUCUGCCCCCAACUUGGGUAUAAGCCUGGGAAACUGGGUCUAAUUCCCGCUAGGACUGCAGGGUGGUGCCUGUGGUGGAAAACGAUUUUCUAGUGGUUGGGGAUGAGCUCGCGGCCUAUCAGCUUGUUGGUGGGGUAAUGGCCUACCAAGGCGGGGACGGGUAGGCGGCCUGGGGGUGGGGGGCGUGAGAGGGGGACCGGCAAACUGGCGAGAGUGCUACGGCAGGGAGCAGUGGGGAAGGUUGCAGAGGGGGCGGAAGCCCGAUGGAGGGACGCCGCGUGGGGGAUGACGGCGUUCGGGUUGUAGACUUCUGGCGUGCGAGAGGAAGCCGCCUGGGUGGAAGGGUGGUGAAGGUAGUGGGAGAAGAAGCACCGGCUAACUACGUG
RNAcentral lists this ribosomal RNA (494 nucleotides) under uncultured bacterium. RNAcentral's name for it is "partial 16S ribosomal RNA". It matches the Rfam family "Bacterial small subunit ribosomal RNA", at positions 28 to 507 of the family's 1533-position model. The record is from RNAcentral.